AACGAACGCUGGCGGCAUGCCUAACACAUGCAAGUCGAACGAGACCUUCGGGUCUAGUGGCGCAAGGGUGCGUAACGCGUGGGAACCUGCCCUUAGGUUCGGAAUAACUCCCCGAAAGGGGUGCUAAUACCGGAUAAUGUCUUCGGACCAAAGAUUUAUCGCCUUUGGAUGGGCCCGCGUUGGAUUAGCUAGUUGGUAGGGUAAAAGCCUACCAAGGCGACGAUCCAUAGCUGGUCUGAGAGGAUGAUCAGCCACACUGGGACUGAGACACGGCCCAGACUCCUACGGGAGGCAGCAGUGGGGAAUAUUGGACAAUGGGCGAAAGCCUGAUGCAGCAAUGCCGCGUGAGUGAUGAAGGCCUUAGGGUUGUAAAGCUCUUUUACCCGGGAUGAUAAUGACAGUACCGGGAGAAUAAGCUCCGGCUAACUCCGUG
RNAcentral lists this ribosomal RNA (433 nucleotides) under uncultured bacterium. RNAcentral's name for it is "partial 16S ribosomal RNA". It matches the Rfam family "Bacterial small subunit ribosomal RNA", at positions 29 to 507 of the family's 1533-position model. The record is from RNAcentral.